Podarcis lilfordi (Lilford's wall lizard) is the source of this 157-nucleotide non-coding RNA. Lineage: Eukaryota; Metazoa; Chordata; Lepidosauria; Squamata; Lacertidae. The record is from the annotation of a GenBank genome assembly.
ACCUUAGAGACCAACUAAGUUUGUUCUUGGUAAAAGCUUUCGUGUGCAUGCACACUUCUUCAGAUACCUUCCACAUUUACUUAAAUGCACUUAAAUUCACUUAAAUGCAUGCACACAACAGCUUAUACCAAGAAUAAACUUAGUUGGUCUCUAAGGU